CACAACCAUGGUUACACAGAUCAGUCACUACCAGUACCACACAAACUUAUCUAAGCACAAUUUCAAUCUAGAUCAACAUUAUCAAUCAUUUAGUAUUCUUCUUAGUUCUUAUUGCUUUACAAACUUUGCCAUUAUUUUCUCUUUUUUUUUUUGAUCAACCCAUUACUUUCUCUAUAUAACUCAAUAGAUGGACAAAAGAAAAAUAAAACACCACUCUCUUUUUUUUUUUUUUUUUGGUCAAAAAAACACCACUCACUCUCUGUGAACGCUAAUAACAAGUAAAUCUUUUUUUAAUCAGAUUAUGCAGUCCAGACCAAAGUAAUAUCUUGUUCUUAAUCUGCAACUAUUUUGUUACUAGUAUUUAAGUUGUAAGAAGAUUUGAUGAAAUGGUACCCAAAAUGAGAAAAUCCCAAGAAACAUGCAAACAUAUGUUCCCUUUUUUUUUCUUAUUGAACACCAUAUGGUCCCUUUGUUAUGUAUCAGUAUUACUAAUUAAUAAAGAAAUUUAGUCCCACACCCAAAAUAAAUCUUGUAAUGUUUUUCCUUUUUUAAACACAUAAUCUUGUGAUGUUAUUACUUGCAAAUUGUACAAUACAUCAAGAAACUUUGCAAUUAUUUUUCAUCUAAAAAAAACUUUGCAAUUAUUUUUUUUAACUUGUAAAAUACUUUAAUACAUAUGAUUUUAUAUAUUAAAAUUUUGCAAAUUAGUUACGGCUUGAUAGUUGACAAAAAAAAAAGUUACGGCUUGAUAAAUAAAAAUAAAUAAAAGUAAGAGCCUUUAAAAUAAAACUCGAGAAUAGUUGGCAAAGUCAAGGACGAUCCUUCUUCUUCUUCUUCCUCGACUCGCUGCCAUCAAACCCCCAAAACUUGGAUUCGAUCUCUCAGCUCUAUAAUCUCAUCAAUUCUCUAUAUAGGGAUAAGCUAUGGGAUGUGCUGCUUCUCUUCCAGGCAAGUUUUCUCCUUUUCGUUUUCCUUUUCUUUCUCCGUUUUGUUGAAUUUAUCAUCCUCGGUGCUCGAUUACAAGUGAGAAGAACCUAUUCGCAAGACCCUCGAGUCCAAUUUCGGGAAAGGCGAAUCCUUUGGGGUUGAAUUAGAAGCUUUCGCGAAAUUAGGGAUUGCGAAUUAUCAUUUGCGUCUUUUUUUUAGGGUUUCCGUGUGAAGAAUCUGAGAAACCAAAUCGGUUGAUGUGUGUUUGUGUUUGUGUUUCAGAUAGGAACUCUGGAGCUUUAAACGGUCUUACUAGUUCAGAGAAUGCAGCUCCAGCAGAUGCUAAGAAUCUACGCGUAAAGGUGCCAUCUUUGUGCUCUCCUUGGUAUCACCUUUGUUGCUAGACUGAUUCCUUAGAGACUUAGUAAAGAUACCUAAGUGGAGUUCUACAGCUCAGAAAGUUCAUGCUUUUUUGUGAUCUUGGUCUUUUAUACUUUGAUUUGUUAGUGAUGGAGUGAGUAUUCUUUAUAGAAUGGUGGAAUGUUAGCAAUAAACCCUCAACUUUCUUCUCUCUAUAGCUAAGUAUAAGCGAGUGACUGUAUUGCAUUAUCUUCUUGGAGCUGUGUUUGAGACUCUUAUGCUACUGAAAGAAAAUGGCUUCUCAUUAGCCUGUGUAGUGUAGUUUGUCUCUCGUGUUUCCGCAAGGCAGACUUGCUAACUUUUGGAUUCACUUGAAUGCAGUUAGUUCUUUUAGGAGAUUCUGGUGUGGGUAAAAGCUGCAUUGUCCUUCAAUUUGUCCGUGGUCAAUUUGACGCAACAUCUAAGGUAAAUAAAACCUUUUUAUCUAAUCGUCACCUGAAACUUCCUUUAUGGUAUCAAAUUGUUCUUAACUGCCAUUGAAUCUCAAAAACAAUUAUUAUGUCUCAGGUAACUGUUGGAGCUUCAUUCUUGUCCCAAACAAUAACCUUGCAAGACUCUACCACAGUGAAGUUUGAAAUCUGGGAUACAGCAGGGCAAGAGAGGUGUUAAGUCCUCCAUGUAGAUUGGUGUUUCUUAGUUAAUUGCCUUGCAUGCUCGUUAAAGCUCAAUAUGUGUUCACUUGAUUAUUUUUUUGAAAGGUAUUCUGCUCUUGCUCCACUAUACUACCGUGGAGCUGGAGUUGCUGUUAUUGUGUAUGAUAUAACAAGCCCUGAAUCGUUCAAGAAAGCUCAGUAUUGGGUUAAGGUAUGUUUUCAUGUAACCCAAAGGGUUCCAUUUCUUAUAUGUUUUUGGGAUUGAUGCUUAUAGCUUGUGAACCAAAUGACUGGAGAACUGACUUGCAGAAAGUCAUAUAUGACCAUAGAAGAGUAGAACAAUUGCAAUACAAGUGUUAUAUCAUAUAUUUCCUUUGUUUUUAACCAUGCCAUUUAAAUCUAACAGGAACUGCAGAAGCAUGGAAGCCCAGACAUUGUUAUGGCUUUGGUUGGUAACAAAGCUGAUCUACAUGAAAAAAGAGAAGUACCAUCCGAGGUGAGUUUUUGCAUAAACUUCUUUAAGUAGAUAUACAUUUUGUUGUCACUUGCACGGUUCUUGCUUCUUCAGCGUAGGGGUGUCACAUUCUCAAUUUUGUAACAGGAUGGUAUGGAGCUUGCAGAGAAGAACGGCAUGUUCUUCAUUGAAACGUCAGCUAAGACGGCCGAUAACAUAAAUGAACUGUUUCAGGUGUGCAUUUCUUUAUCCCCUCAGGAUUUAUGACCAGCUGUUUUGUCAUCUGCAUUGAUUGAGCUCUUGUGAUUUGUUUUAUUUUCAUUGCUUUGGACUUUGGAGAAUGAGUAUAAGUUGAUAGGGAGUGAGAUCUUUGUUCUUUUUAUUUGUCUAAGCUACUUCUAAAAAUUCAGAGAAAACUGAGUAGGAGAAGAAUAAUAGUUUCAGGUGUAGAAAGAAUGAUUGAUUGUGAAUCAGGUUUUGAUGUUUUGUACAUGUUUGUGUGAAUAGGAAAUUGGAAAGAGGCUACCUCGUCCUUCUCAACCAUCAUCAUGAUUGGAGUGUUUGGAUCAUCCCAUCUUCAGUGAAAAGCUUAAACCUUUCUCCUGGUUACUAAUCUUUUACUUACUUUCAUGUAAUGUUAUUAAACGGUAUUUUAUUAUAUAUGUUUUAAGUGUGUUGUGUAAUACGAAGAUUCGAGGUUGAGAAGCCUUAAUUAAAUUAAGCAAUGAUGGGGGAUUAUCACAUGUACAUUUAUAUCUACUAUAAGAAAGAGAACGUAGCAGCUACUCUACAGAAACGAAUCUAUUGAAAAGGAAAAUUUGACCAUUUCAAACAAGACUAGCAUAUUAAAUCCUCUACUCAGACACGCCUCACAUGACCUGAUUCUACAUACUCGGAGUUUGUCAUGUCAUGUGUAUUCAUUUAUAACUAUGUUAGCUAGUGACAACUAGUUUUGACUUCUGAUUGUUUGUGCAUCCACAACUCACACACGUAUAUUUCGAAAUCCAAAAUUGAAUCUUGAAUCUGACGUGACACUAGUAUUUUAAAAAUUGGUUUAGUCAUCGGAACAAAACAAUUUUUUUUCAAACUGAUGUUUUAAAAACCGGUCUAGACGUAAAAAAAAAUUCAAUCUAAAACCCCCACUAAAUACUCACCUAAAUAUUAAUCUUUUAUAAAAACCGAAUUUUAGAAGACAGACAAACAAGUUAGAUGAUGCUUAAAUAAAUAGAAGAUAGUAACUAAAAAGAAAAAAAUCUGAUUGGUUCAAAAAGGGACAACUUGUGGCUUUUUUCAGACAGAGAAGACUUUAGGUGUUUGUUUAUUUUAUUGUCACGUUGGUAAGGAAGGAUUAAGCGAUAACUGUUGUUUUUUAUUAAGGGGUCUUAAUGGCUCCAUCGCAUUCUUCCUCCCUUUAACCAUCUUCUUCUUCUUCCUCCUUUGGAGCUAUCUCCAGGAUGGGAUCAACGAAUGGUUCCGAUGAGGAGCUCAUGAGUCGUCUCGUUGACUCCGUCAAGCAAAUUUCAAAGUUCUCCAAUUCCAAAGGCUUCUUCGGGAGGAUCCAAGGCGAUCUCGUCCGUAGGAUCACCCUUCUCAGCCCUUUCUUCGAGGAAUUAAUCGACAUCAACGCUGAGUUGAACGAAGAACAACAACUCACAGGUUUUGAGGUUAUGAGGAUCGCUCUCGAUUCAAGCUUAGAGCUUUUUCGAUCUGUCAAUGGAGGCAGCAAACUUCUUCAGGUUUUUUUCUUUUACUAUUUCUUCCUUAAAGAUUCUCUCGUUGGUCGCUUGCAAAGUUAGCAGCUUUCCUCUGUUUUCUUAGGGUUUAAGAUACUUAACCAAUAUCAAGAACAAGAAAAGGUUGACUCUUUUCAUGUUUUGUUUGUCCUCUCUGUGCUGGCAGAUCGUCCAUAGGGGUUCUAUUAUGCAGAAGUUCCACGACGUGACAGUGGAGAUAGAAGCAGCCUUAACUCAGAUCCCUUAUGAUCACUUCGAAGUCUCCGAGGAGGUCAUAGAACAGGUUCUUCUCAGCGCAUUUGUUUUUUUUUUUCUCUCGUUUGGCUUUGGCCACAAUGGUUUGCAAAUUCUAAUGAUAUUAUCUCUUUUGAAUUUGUAGGUCAAGCUUCUGCAUUCUCAAUUCAAGAGAGCAACAGAAAGACAAGAGGACUAUGAUCUGCAGCUAAGCCAUGAUCUAGCCGUGGCAGAGAGCGUGGUAGAUCCUGACCCUGAAACCCUCAAAAGACUGUCGCAAGAGCUCCAACUCAGCACUAUUGAUGAGCUCAAGAAAGAAUCUCACGCCAUUCACGAGUACUUUCUUUCGUAUGAAGGGGAUCCAGAUGACUGCUUUCAGAGGAUGUCCUCUCUUCUUAAAAAGCUGGUAGACUGUGCAUCAACUGAAAGUUCGGAACCGGAUGCAUCUACUGGCAGCAAAGUCAUUUCGAGACAUCGGUCUCCUGUUAUACCAGAGUACUUUCGGUGUCCGAUAUCACUUGAACUGAUGAAAGAUCCUGUCAUCGUCUCCACUGGACAGGUCUGCUUUUGCAUUGUAGUGAGUUUGGUUCAUUACAUUUGUGUAGUGCUGGGCAUUUUGGGUUAUUCGGGCAGGGGACAGGGGUGUUUAGGACCUGUUUAGGAACCGGACAAUUUUUAGAUCGGUUUGGGUUGGGUUUCUAUUUUUAUAAAACCCAAAGUGGAACCGAAAUAAUUUGUGUUUGGUUUGGGUUUAAAGUCCGAAAAUCAAAAAAACUUCAAAAACCCUGAAAAAUAUUCAAAUAAUUCGGGUUUUGGAUAUUUUUAUUUCUAAAUUGUAUUAUAUAUAUAUUAAAAAUAAUUAAUAUUUUAUUAUAUUUUGAAUAUUCGAGUACCUCUUUGGUUUUCUGUUCCAGUCGGUUUCGGUAUUUCGGGUUUAGAAAAAAUAGGAAUCCUUUGGGUUUCGGUUUUAGUUUUCUCGGUUCAGUUGGUUUUUGGGUUACUGUAAUUUGCCCAGGACUACAUUUUUGUAUGCAUUUGUUGUUUUAGCUGGUUUUUUCUCGACCUUGCAGACAUAUGAGAGAUCAUCCAUACAGAAGUGGCUAGAUGCUGGUCAUAAAACCUGUCCGAAAUCUCAGGAGACACUCUUGCAUUCCGGAUUAACACCUAACUACGUGCUAAAAAGUCUCAUUGCUCUGUGGUGUGAGAGCAACGGUAUCGAGCUUCCGCAAAACCAAGGGAGCAGCUACAGAACCACAAGACCAGGAGGAGGUAGCAGCUCUUCGGAUUGUGACCGAGCAUUUGUCCUCGCCUUGUUAGAGAAGCUGGCCAACGGAUCUACAGAACAGCAAAGAGCUGCAGCUGGAGAGCUUCGGUUACUAGCCAAGAGGAACGCGGACAACAGAGUCUGCAUCGCUGAGGCUGGAGCCAUACCGCUCCUCGUUGAGCUUCUAUCCUCACCGGAUCCUCGGACUCAAGAACACUCCGUGACGGCUCUUCUGAAUCUUUCUAUAAACGAAGGCAACAAAGGAGCCAUUGUUGACGCAGGAGCUAUCACAGAUAUAGUGGAAGUGCUUAAAAACGGAAGCAUGGAGGCUAGAGAGAACGCAGCCGCGACGCUUUUCAGUUUAUCUGUUGUAGAUGAGAACAAAGUGGCGAUAGGUGCUGCUGGAGCUAUCCAAGCUCUUAUAAGCUUGCUUGAGGAAGGAACAAGAAGAGGGAAAAAAGACGCGGCAACUGCUAUAUUCAAUCUGUGCAUAUACCAAGGGAAUAAAUCAAGAGCCAUUAAGGGAGGUAUCGUUGAUCCUCUGACAAGGUUACUGAAAGAUGCAGGUGGAGGAAUGGUGGAUGAAGCUUUGGCUAUCUUGGCGAUACUUUCAACGAACCAAGAAGGGAAAGCAGCUAUAGGUGAAGCAGAUACUAUUCCUGUUUUGGUUGAGAUUAUAAGGACAGGGUCACCGAGGAACAGGGAGAACGCUGCAGCUAUACUUUGGUAUCUAUGUAUUGGGAAUAUGGAGAGGUUGAAUGUAGCGAGAGAGGUUGGUGCAGAUGUUGCGUUGAAGGAGCUUACUGAGAAUGGGACUGAUAGAGCUAAGAGGAAAGCUGCGAGCUUGUUGGAGAUCAUUCAGCAACUCGAAGGUGUUGUGAUAUCUACUGUUCCAUGAAAGGCUUGCUCUUUGUGGAAAUCUUAUUUGUUUCAGUAUAGAUUAUAUAUGUAUAGGAAGCUUUUGGAUUGACUCUGACUAAAGAAGCUUAUGUAAUGUCUACUCAGUUUUGUGUAUACAAUAAAACCUCUUUAAUUAGUAUUUGUUAGUAGUGUAAGAUAAUAUUCUCUCUGCUCGUUAUUGCAUUCUGGUCAUCUGUUGUUAAGUUGAAAUGAAAAUAUGCAUCAACAAAUAUAUUACUGAUUUGUAUAUAAAAGAUCAUACUGUCUCUCACCACAAAAGAAAAACAUAUACGAGAACAUUUGAAUACCAUUCACUCUGCAACCAAAACGAUCCAGAAGAAGAGUCACAAAGACAUAAAAAGACAAUAAAUAAACACACAAUAGCACUCGAGAGAAAAGAUAACGCUCUCUUACGGAUCAGCCUUGUUUAUCCAUGAAUGUUUCUAUUAGUGUUGCGCCAUUGAUGAUCUUUGUUGUAGCAAUAAUCAAAUCAUAAGCCAUUCCUUCCUGAAAAAGAAGCAAUUGAAGAAGGAAGGCUUCAGCAAAAGAGUGUCUUUUAAUCAUAAACUCUUGGAAGUUUGCAUAUUACCUUGGAGGCGAGAAACCGUAGGGCAGAGAUUUCAGCAAAUGUUACACCUCCAAUGAAGACAACAAGAACAACUGAGCGUCUUCCAUCAGCAACCCUGUAAUGAUGUUGUAACAUAAAUGUUUUAUCCUUCUGUAGAAACUACUUUUGUGGUAUCGAACUAAUUGAUAAUGAUAAUAAACUUUACCCAUUUGAAGCUCCAUGCAAUGAAUCAACUGAUGGACUACUUGGGAAUCCACUCUGCAUAGAGAUGGUACAUAAUGUGAUCACAAAAUAGUCGAAAACAGAAAAUACAAUAGCAUAACAAAACAAUUCUUUUUUUUUUCUCCAGUUGGGUAAACGUGUACUGACUCUUUUAGUUUCCAGAUGUGGUCCUGGCAACAGCUUCAAAAUGUCUUCUAUUGGACGCCUGUAAGGUAGAUUGAGGACUCAUUAAUAUUAAACACAUCACUCUGUCAACAUUCAUAUAUGAAUUAAUAAAUGUUCUUUCAAGUUCUGAUAUUUGCUGAGUUCUUCUGUGCAUGUCACUUAAUGCUUCUCAACUCGAAACUGAACAGAAUUCUAGACUUUUUCUCUUCAUGGUUAUAUUAAUAUAUAGAAAAGCCCAAGUGUUAUUUUAUACACAGGCUAGCUAGUCAACAUUUUGGUCUAGAAGAGUGCAAGAACAUACUAACCAUCCGGAAUGUAUAGCUUGUUGGACAAGACGAAUGCUAAGAGGAGCAUAUCCAGAAUAGACAUAAGCGAUAUCAACCGGCCUGCAACAAGAACAGUGUUUCAAACAACUCAAAUAAGCACUAAUUUUAUUUCUUACGAUUAGAAAAAGUUUGGUACAAGGCCUAGCAUAUCAGGUGAAUGAAGGUAACAUAUGACAUGAUAUCACAAAUGCAACAUAUGGAAAGUGAUGACGUAAAACCAUAAAUGCACAGAAUACAACACAAUAGACAAACAAGGAGGAAACAGAUUGCAAGUCAAGAAAAAGGGAGAGUCCUCAUAGAUAAACAAAAUUUGCAAGUCAAGAGCGAGCUUUCGAGCCGGGCUUUAGAAGAUACCAGAGAUAUCUUCGAAAACAAAAAUAUUCAGCCAGAGCUGUAACUAAAUCAUGCAUUAGCGAUAAUGAAGGUAUUGUCAAAUAUUGUAGUUGGAAAAUCAGCUUUCAGGUUUUAUACGUUCAUUCAAGAUUACGUUUGCAUAUUUUCUGAACUAGACAUCUGGACCCGCUUCAUAAGCGUAACCCCAUAAACAAAAAUCAUGCCAUCAUGUAUUCAGUUGGUGACAACAUGACUAAAAAGAAUAUUUACCUUGACGUAUCUGUGUCUUCAACUAUAAGUUUCAUUGUACGUUUCACUGUCUGCCAGUUGCUUUUAAACUCCUGUAGAAACCAAACGAAUGUACAACAACCCCUUAGAAUAUCAGACACACUUAACCCCAAUAAACAAGAAGAUUGUUCAUCCCACAAAGUAGCCAAGAAUAACCAAACCUGUUUCUUCAACAAUCCUGCUUUUUCCAAGUUGUUCAAUACGUUCACAUGCUCAAACCCAUAACUGUGGAGUAGUUCCGUUCUGGAAGUUGAGACACGAAGACAAGAUAUCAUUCAAAAAGCAGAAAAAUUAAAUAUAAAAUACCGAUGAUUGCUGGAAGCUAGCUUGCCUUAUAUAAUCAAAUUGCUUUUUCGGUAACCCUGAGUUUGUAAUAGAAAAUAGGACCAAUAGUCGCAGGACUUUAGUGAGAGGCUCCUGUUUAUGGAUCAAUUCUUCUAUGUACUCAAAGCAUCUGUAUUAACAAACUAGAGUUAGUAAUAAUAAAUCAUAUAACAGACUUUUCCAUUAUGCCAUCAACGUAAGAUGUUUUCCACAUCACUUGUAAUAGAAAGAAUCAUCAAGAUACUUUUGAAUGGAAGUAUUAAAUUCAAUUUCCUUAAGAAGAAACUUACAUGUCAUAACUUUCUGCCUCAACUAGUGUUUGUUCCAUGUCAAGCUGCGAAAGAAAUGACUGCUUGGACGUGAAUGUUGUCAGGUGCUGAGCAAGAUGUAUGUGCCUCUGGGAAAGAAAAAAAUCAUACAAAAUCAAGUUAGGAUGAAACUUAUCGUUUUCUGAACCAUCUGCGAGAUAAAACAAAAGGAACUUUAAGAAAACAAGGCAAUACUUACUGUCAUCUCUGGUAAUGAGUUAAGCUUCUUGACAAAGUCCUUUAGCUCAGAAACUGUCUGGGUCUGUGUAUUAUAUUAUCAUACACCAUUAAAAUCUCGGUCCAACUAAUAAUCUAAGUUUAAAAUGUAUGGAUAGGCUGAUAGUUCCUAAGGAAUACAUGGUCUAUAUUAAUUUGGUAACUAUUUAUGUGCCAAAGAAUACUCCUGAAUCCUGAUCGAGUCUAAGAGAUCUGACCACAAAUAUGUAUGUACCAUAACCUCUACCGCGAAAACAAGACUACCUAAAGGGAGAGAGCGACAAAACAAACGUACAGAAUUAAUUUCAGUAUAGUCCUCCUUCAUGGUUGUUGCCUUCUGCCGUAGAACCUGCAAUCAUACCGCGUCUGUAGUUGAGUAAAAAGAAUCCCAUUUAACGCAAAAAAUGAAAGCUAAAAGGACAAACGUCAACCUGCACAACGACUUCAAAGUUGAGAUCCCUCGUCUCCUUGAACAAUUUAUCACUGUAAAUUUAAACAUUCAAGCAAUAAAUUUAUGAAAGACAUAGAUAGGCACAGUAGCUUGGAAAGUCCAAUCUAGCUACCAGUUUAGGGAGCGAUUUUGUGUGCAUAAUCAAUUAAUACACAUUAAUAUCAACACAACAGUGUGCUUAUCCAAUCCAAGAAAAUCACAAUUUCUAUUCCAUGCAUCAAAAAUACUCACAAAAAUCAUAUAGCAAUGCAGUAGAAAUGGUCUCCUACGGUUGAAGAAAUUUGUAUAUACGAUGCAAGAAACUAACCUUGAAUUAAGGGGAACCUUCAUCUUUUUCCCCUCCUGCUGAGAACCCAUCACAGACGAGUCGACCUCGACAGCUCCAUUACUGAUAUGCAAAAACUUUAAAUAGGGGUUGGAGUCAGCUCACAGAAAACCCAAUCGACCAGCUUGAUUAAAAUCCAAAUUGUAUGGUUGUUUGUUAUCAACCAAUGAAAUUAAGUAGGAUAAUGACAAUCGUUUGUGGCAUUACCUCGUUUAACAAUCCUUCAUAAGUUAACUGGGUACACAUUGGUGUAACCAUAUCAACCUGAAACAGAAAGUAUUAAAGUCAAUCAGAAUGUACUUUUGAAAGAUAUCUUUGUGUUGAAGGAUGUCAUAUAAUUGGGAAACGCAUGAUAAUCAUACCUCUCUAUCCAACAGAAUGAGUGUAUCUACUUCAGGCCUUCCCACCUGGAAUAGAACUUGCGUCAUUUAGAAUAGUGACCAAAGGAAACAAAAUCAUCUGAAAAAUAUAAGAUAUCGAAGUCAUUGAAUAUUAAAGCACUCAAAAUGCUGCAGGCAAAUUUUUACAUCAUUGGUAUUGACAGGUUCCUCCACUUGCAUGCGGUUAAGUAUAUCUGCAACACGAACUGAUCCUUUGCCCUUUGCCCUCACUUUCGGUAUAACUCCAAAAGAAAACUAUGAUAGGUGUCAGCCAUGAGAAAGCACAAUGUGGAUCAUAACGUAAAGAAUAAGGAAAGAUUCAAACCUCGAGCUCAUGUAUUGCUUUUGCAACAUGCCAAAGUGAGCUAACAUCACCAUCGACAAGGCAAUCCUAUCAUUUUGAAAAACAAGAAAUAUGUGAGCUUAAGGCCUCAAGGGAAAUGGUACAUGAAGUAAUAAGUACAAAUUGGACAUAUGCGAGUUGUACACACUUUUUCACAGAGCUCAAGCUCAAAAGAUAUCACAUCCUCAUCCAGUGGAACCAUAUACAGAGGAAACUCCUUCACGGUAACCAGGUUAUGAACUUUUUCCUGCUCAAGAAUCUGAAAUAGCAGGAUAAGAUAUUUAUCACCCUUUAUUCAAGAGGUAGUAAGAACAAUGAAAAUGAAUCACAAAGAGUCGAAGAAGAUGGCAAUAACCACACACCUUCUCACACGCGACAGACCUACGAGGAACAAAGUAAACGUAGUAGUCUCUCUGAAUCGCUUUGGAAAUAUCAUUCUGAAUGUGCGAAGCUAUGUGUUUCAUAAAACUGAGUUGAGAUCGAACAAGAUAGACCACUUUCGUGCAUUCAGUCUGAACUGGUUCUUCAGAAAGAUGUCGUAAUUCCAAACCAAGUUCCUGUUAAGCAGAAGACCACUAGUGUUGAAACAAUACUCUCAACCAUUAUAAGAAGAAAAUAAAUAAUCUCAUUUCUUCCUUUCCUAAACAGACUAACAGAGUAAUCAAUCUAAAGUCAUUUAAACCUGGCAUUACCUUAAGUGUGGAAGUCUGGAUGAUCAAUGAAACGGAACCGCUUAGCUUUGGAUCAAUAACCAGACACUUAGUUCCACGAAUCUACAAAAAGGCACCAAAGAGAGAAGACAAAACAUUAGUUGUGUUCCGAAAGCUCUUUUUCUACCCAAAAUGUGAAAUUGGUAACUGAUAACAACAACAAUGCGAAUCAUAUCGAAAGAGAGAGAGUAACGAGACUUACGUCUUUAAGCAAGUUUACGAGCUCCCUCUGAGACUUCUCCCUGAAUUAGAAUUGAGCAAAACAUAUGAGAGGAGAACGAGAAAACGAUCAAUUUAAGUAUUGAAAAUGGACUCUCACCUAAUGGAUUUGAGAUUGAGAGGAGCAUUCUCCAAGUUAGGGAUCUGCGCCAUGGAAGACGAUCAGAGAUGAUCGGACCUGUUCGACGUUUCUCUGUUUUUUUUUCCUUCACCGUGCGACCGCAAAGGACGAGCACGGUGGAGAAGAUAGUUAGAAACACUAAAUGGGCCUCAUAAGUCUGUAUAUGGGCUUUUACAUCUAAGCUUAGAAGCUGGGCUUGGUCUUGUUCUGUGAGUGGUGUUAAUUUGCUCAUAUGUUUUUGUCAAACGUUAUUAAUUUGCCCAAAUGUUUUCAUCAACGAUGUUGAUAAUGUUCAAGAUUAAUGUACAUGAGAAUGUUUUAUAUGAAACAAAUUUCAAAUAUAUUUCAAACUGACUAAGCAGAGUCAGUUUAUUUUUUGCAUUGGAAAAUCUGGUACUACUUGGAAAAUUUUAGAGGAACAAAUUGACAACAAGAAGACGUACGAUAGAUAUACGUCACUGGUACAAAGGGUCUCUCAUGUGUCAAAAUAUGUGAGUUUACAGAUGUUGAGGUAGACAAGGCCACGUCCAUCAUGAAGAUGUUGAGGGGGAAUCAUCAUGAAGAAUGCUAUGAGAGUGUACGUCCAUAAGAAUCUGGGAUCCACUCUAUAUUGUUUGGUAUUCAUAUGAAGUUAUGGACCAUUGAUGUGUUGGACCCGCUGCUACUUAUAAUGAAUUCAUGAGUUUAUAAAUAAAAUAAGCAACCCUACAUUUUUGUUCGUUUACUAUUAGGCAACCCUAGACGUAUUGCUUCCACACUACAAAAAAACAGGCGAGAAAAACGAAUUCCCAACGAAUUUGUUUGCGAAAUACUCCCUCCGUUCUUAAAAAAUCCAUGUUUUAGAAAAAAAAAUUGUUUCAAAAAGAUACAUUUUUUAUAUUUUCAAUACAUAAAUUAAAUGUAAAUUGUAAACUUCAAAAAACAUAAUUGUAUUUAUUAAAAUUCUAUUGGUGAAAACUUGUGGGAUAUAGUUGAUUACGGAAAAUAAUGUAUUGGUUACUAAAAUUUGAUAUAUUUUCUUAAUAAAUAUGAAAAUCUUAAAAUAUGGAUCUUUUAAAAACAAAGAGAGUAUAACGUAGGUCGGAUUUCAUGAAAUUAAACCGUCUAAUGCAAUGGUUGAGGAAAAAUAGAUUGAGAUAUAUAUAUUCGAGAAAAUAGGAAUGAAACUUUAUUCUUUGAAGAUAUAGACAUAGGCAAUAGUUUCGAAGAUAUAUAACACUAUACUAUACGAUAGUUCUCGUGGGGAAAUAAGUAGUUGUUCCACAAAUUUGUUGUCGAAUUUUCCGAUAGACAUGCGUUUCUUUAUUGUUUUUUUUUCUUUCAAAUUUGUAGAGAGUAUUAGUAAUAUAAAAAUAUUCAAUUUCAAAGAUUUUGACGAAUUCACCACGGAGUGAUAACGAGCAGCCAGUACCUGUCCGAUUAAUCAAUUAUCUAGGGCGAGUUUUUGAACAUUGUACUCAUCUUAUACCAUUAGAUAAAUUCAUUAACUUGUAGUUUUGUACUGUUUAUAAUGUUUUAGUUAAUUUAUAUUUUCAUUUGCAUAUAAAUUAUAAAUUAUAUUUUUAUAUGCUUUUUUUUUUCUAUUAACUGUUCAUCGAUUUCACAAAAUUAAUGCUGAGUCUCCUAGGCAAGUGUAUAAAAAAAAUUAAAAUAAAACAAAGACACAAAAGGGCCCCUUCCUCAACGUCACCCACUAAACCACGAACGCGGGAACCCAUAAUUUCAUUUUAUUCAUUUUCACAGCCGUCGUCGGUCGUGCCUCCCUCUUCCCCUCUUCAUUCAUCUCUUUCCACUUCUCCACGAACUUUUCAAAUCCACUCUCCUUUCAAUCAAUCUUCUCCCCCCCCCUCCUUUCGUGCAUCGCGACGAGCUUUACUACUAUGACUUCUUCCUCGAACUCAUCCUCCGCCGUCAGAUCGUCGGCGAAACACGCGGCUGACCGGAUUCAGCAGCACCUGCCUCCCAGCAACCCCGCGUCCCUCUCUUCGUCUUCCUUGAACUUACCCUCUAAGACCUCUAUCGCCGCUUCGAUUAACCACCACUCUCCUCGCCCUAAAGAUCGACCUUCCUCCACCGCCUCCUCCGUCUCCGCCGCUUCUCCUUCUACUCGCCGCUCCGGCACCCCCGUCCACCGAUCUCAGUCUAAAGACUUCGACGACGACAACGGUAUCUCCCCCUUCCUCUCUCUCUCUCUCUACUUCGUGUAUUAUCCGUACGAUUCUCCAUUUGCGUUAACGGAUUUGAUGACUCUUCACUCUAGGGCGAUUGUAUACUCGAUUUGGGGAUUAGGAUUGUUAGUGAUGAUCGUUGAUUUUGAUUUUGAGUUUAAGUUGAUUGGUCAUAUGGUGAAUUGGAACUUCGAUAUUGAGUUUGAAUUUCAAAUUGUUAUAUUCUCUACAGAUCCAGGGAGGGUGAGAGUUUCUGUAAGAGUUCGACCUCGUAACGGAGAGGAGCUUAAAUCAGAUGCUGACUUUGCUGAUCUUGUUGAGUUACAACCUGAGGUCAGUCACUAUGCCUUUCUCCCUCUCUUAAGUUAUAGUUAGAUCCUUAGAAAGUGCUCUUUUGUUUUGUUUUCUCUACAGAUAAAGCGGCUUAAGUUGAGGAAAAACAAUUGGAACUCUGAGUCCUAUAGAUUUGACGAAGUCUUUACAGACACAGCUUCUCAGAAACGCGUUUAUGAAGGAGUAGCAAAACCUGUAGUCGAGGUUAGAAAAUCAUUCUAUUCUUGAUGUAGAAUCUUUGAGGAUGAGAUUUUAUUUUCGAUAUUCAUUACUGCAUUCGUUCUGUAGGGUGUUCUGAGUGGAUACAAUGGCACAAUCAUGGCUUAUGGUCAAACUGGCACGGGUAAGACUUACACCGUGGGAAAAAUUGGUAAAGAUGAUGCAGCUGAGCGUGGUAUCAUGGUUCGAGCUCUUGAGGAUAUACUUGCCAGCGCGUCCUCUGCUUCUUCUGUUUCAGUGGAGAUCUCUUAUUUGCAGGUGUGACACUAUAGAUCUUCUGCGUUGAUCUCUUUUUCAUUUAUAGCAUGACUUCAAUGCUUAGACCAUACAUGCCUAACAUCUAUGUUGCUCUUCUUGUAAUUCACAGCUUUAUAUGGAGACUAUACAAGAUCUUCUUGCACCUGAGAAAAGCAACAUUUCAAUCAAUGAGGAUGGGAAGACUGGGGAAGUAUCAGUACCAGGUGCAACAGUAGUUAACAUUCAAGAUCUAGACCAUUUCUUUCAAGUUUUGCAAGUCGGUGAGACAAACCGCCAUGCGGCGAAUACAAAGAUGAAUACAGAAUCCUCACGUAGCCAUGCCAUUCUUACGGUGUGUAACACCUUAGAAUAUUUGGUCUUUUAUGGUUCUUGGUCAUUAAAAGUAGUCCAUGUUUUGGAUUAAUGAAAUGUAUCUUCUAUGCAGGUUUACGUUAGGCGGGCUAUGAAUGAAAAGGCUGAAACAGGAACUAAAUCGCCAAAACCUGAAUCUUUGGGAGAUAAAGGCAUUCCAAGAGUUAGAAAGAGUAAACUUCUAAUUGUGGAUCUUGCUGGCUCAGAAAGAAUAAAUAAAUCUGGUUUGAACUCAUUCCCUGUUCAUAUAACCACCAUUCAUUUCAUAUCAAGUAGGUUAUGACUGAGUUAUAUCCUGUUUUUUAUUAAGGCACUGAUGGCCACUUGAUUGAAGAGGCGAAAUUCAUUAAUCUUUCACUGACAUCUCUGGGAAAGUGCAUAAAUGCAUUAGCUGAAGGCAGUUCUCAUAUACCGACUAGAGAUUCUAAGCUAACAAGGCUUCUUCGUGAUUCUUUCGGGGGUUAGUUUACCAGAACUUUCUUGAGCCAUUUAUAAAAACACAAAGCGUGGCUCACUUCUGUGUGCCUUCUACAUUUUUCAUGUUUUUCCAGUUAAGCUUGUGCCUAUUACAUAAAUUUUGAAAUUGUUCUUUUUUCGGCACUGAUCAAAUAGGUUCUGCAAGGACUUCACUUAUAAUAACUAUUGGGCCGUCUGCACGGUAUCAUGCAGAGACAACUAGCACAAUAAUGUUCGGACAAAGGGUCAGUUUCAUGUUUCUGUUGAUCCAUGAUUCUAUCUAUAUCUGCAGAAUCGUAAACUGAGAAAGACACAGUUUUCUGAUAUUUUAAAGACACAGUUUUCGAGUAAUGCCUUGUUGGUUUUGUCUCACUUUUACAGGCAAUGAAAAUAGUAAACAUGGUAAAGCUUAAAGAAGAAUUCGAUUAUGAAAGUUUGUGUCGGAAGCUUGAGACUCAGGUGGACCAUCUUACUGCAGAAGUUGAAAGACAAACCAAACUAAGAAAUAGUGAGAAGCUCGAGUUGGAGAAAAGAUUGAGAGAAUGUGAAAACACUUUCGCUGAAGCAGAAAAGAACGCGGCAAGGUCCAAGGUAUUUGUCUCUUGUAAUGAUUGGCUACUAUUUUCUUUAUAUUGAACUAUUGUCUAGUUUCUUGAUAUGAUGCCUAUUUUACUAUUAUCCGGUGCUUAUAUUUUGAGGGGUGAAUCUGAAUUACAGUUCCUGGAGAAGGAAAAUGCCCGCUUGGAGCUUCGUAUGAAAGAACUAUUGAAGGAUUUGGAAAUGCAGAAAGAUCAGUGUGAUCUAAUGCGUGACAAAGCCACACAAUUGGAGAUGAACUUGAAAAAUACAAAGGUACACUUUCUAUCAUAUGUUCGUAGUUCUCUCAGCAACUACUUAGAAUAUAUUAUUAGUUGACUACUCUCUUUCUUUUGAUCUUUAUUUAACUACUCACAGAAGCUCUUGGUUGUUUUCUCACUAUUAAGAUAAAUUUUAAGCAGUGUCUUCUUUUGUAGUUGUGUAUGUAUAAUUUAACAGGCUCUGACAUUGUCAUUUUACUUGUUAGUAGCAGCAACAACUGGAAAGUUCGGCAUAUAAGGAAAAACUUGCAGAUGCCAGUAAAGUAUACGAGACAAAAAUUGCUGUUUUGGUUCAGCGGGUUGAGGAUGAACAAGCCCGGUCAACAAAUGCCGAGCAUCAAUUGAACGAAAUGAAAAAUAUUUUGAGUAAUCAGCAGAAGUCUAUUCAUGUUAGUUAAAACUCCUUUAAAAAAAAUUUGAAUGCAUUAGUCUUGUGUUCAAACUAAUGUUUUUUUUGGGUGUUCUAGGACCAAGAGAUGGGCAACUAUCAAUAUCAAAGGGAACUUGCGGAAGCCACUUACACGUAUGAAUCUAAAAUCGCGGAGCUCCAGAAGAAAUUGGAAGAUGAACAUGCUCGGUCUAACUCUGCAGAGGAGCAACUUAGACAGAUGAAAAGUAUUAUAAGCGAUCGCCAAGUUUUAUCACAGGUUAUUGGCGUAUUCUUGAUUUUUUGAAACUGGAUUUUAAUAAGAACGAUACUUUCAGCUUUAUGUUUCUGUCUUUUUUAUCUUUUCAGCAAUGAUAAAUUCUACUCUUGCAGAACUUUCUGUCUCCAACUUUGUUUUUUUUUUUUUCUGGUUUUGGUUUCAGGAAAAUGAAAAGACAAACGAACUCAAGAAAAAACUAGAAGAACUUUCACAGAUGUAUGAGUCGACAGUAGAUGAACUCCAGACAGUGAAAUUAGACUAUGAUGAUCUGCUCCACCAAAAGGUGUGACCCCUAAACAUCUGCUUACAGAAAGAAUAUCAAACAAUUAAGAGUUGGUCAUAUUAAUUUAAAACAUCCAACUGUUGAUUUUCGCUGAUGAAUACACAUUAAAAUUUGUUUGACAUAGGAAAAACUUGGUGAAGAGGUCCGGGAUAUGAAGGAAAGGCUUCUUUUGGAAGAAAAGCAGAGAAAACAAAUGGAGAGUGAGCUUUCCAAACUAAAAAAGAAUCUAAGGGAAAGUGAAACUGUUGUUGAGGUGAAUUUAGAAUGAGCUUGUUUCACCUUUUUCAACAUGUACUUGUACUUCAUGGUCUUGCUAAGUCCAUUUCUAUUUCACAGGACAAGCGUGUGAAGGAAGAUCUUCCAAAAGGACCAUCAGAAUCUGGAGCUCUACCAGGCUCACAGAGAUCUCAUGGGUUAAAAAAGUCUCUAUCUGGACAGAGAGCUACCAUGGCAAGACUUUGUGAAGAAGGCAUGAUUCUUUCUCGUUAGUUUAGCUCGAUUUUAUUCUGGGAUAAUCCAAUUGACAUCUUCGUUUCUACUUCGGUUUCAGUGGGAGUCCAGAAGAUAUUACACCUGAUUAAGUCCGAAGACUUGGAAGUUCAAAUCCAAGCCGUUAAGGUGGUGGCUAAUCUGGCCGCUGAAGGUGUGUGAUUUCAUCGCUCUAUAUAUUAGCAUGUGUCAGUAGCCUCAAAUUUAUAUUCCUCUCUACUGUUACAAUACUGACUUUAUCUUUGUAUAUCAUGUGUCCUUGUACCUAAACGACUUGCAUUCUCUGUGUGUAUGUGUUUAGAAUCUAAUCAGGUCAAGAUUGUGGAGGAAGGCGGUGUGGAAGCUUUGCUUACGCUUGUUCAGUCAUCUCAAAAUUCAACAAUUCUUAGAGUGGCUUCUGGUGCAAUAGCUAAUUUGGCAAUGAACGGUAAGAACUUCUAUUGGUAGUUCAAGUAAUUUUUAUGUUAUUGUUGUCCACAAACCCGUUUAAACUUACUACUAAAAAGCAGUGCCAAUUUAGACUUUAAAAGUGGUCUCAUGUGGUUGUGUCAUUUAUUUACAAUGCUGGUUUGCUUGAAUGUUGAAUCUGCAAGUUGAAUUAGAUGGUUCGUGAUGCCAUGCUUCAAUAAUAUGGUUUCUUUUAUUAAUUGCAGAGAAGAGUCAAGAUUUAAUAAUGAAUAAAGGAGGUGCUCAACUGCUAGCAAAGAUGGUGACCAAAACAGAUGAUCCACAAACUCUAAGAAUGGUAGCUGGUGCACUUGCCAAUUUAUGUGGAAACGGUGAGCACAAGAUUUUCAAACGCAUCUACUCGUCUGCACUGUAUAGCAUAUGCAAAAUCCAAUAUAUUUGGUGAAGCUUUUUGCUGGGAUGAUAAGUAUGUAUUUAACUCGUACAUGUUGCUGUCUAUUGCACAAACAGAGAAGUUUCUUAAGCUCCUGAAAGAAGAGGAAGGUAUCAAGGGACUACUCACAAUGGCGCAGUCCGGAAACAUAGACAUCAUAGCUCAAGUGGCAAGAGGGAUGGCAAAUUUUGCAAAAUGUGAAACUCGCGAAAUCAUGCAAGGUUUGUUGUAAUACAGAGAUACCUCAUAAAAAAAUGCAGAUCCAAGUCAAUUUUGCUAAUAUACGUUGAGUGAUCAUAUGCAUCGCAGGGCGUAGAAAAGGUCGUUCUCUUCUUCUGGAAGAAGGUGCUCUUGAAUGGCUGACUUCAAACUCACAUAUUGAAUCCGCAUCAACACAACGUCACAUCGAGCUUGCGCUUUGCCAUUUAGCUCAAAAUGGUAAGCCUAUAUUGUGUUGAGUAAAACUGAUUUCACAUGUCUCUCACUCUCUAGAGCAGGCCCAGCUUAUAUGCAUACCUCCUCUUAUUUGAUACAGAGGCAAACGCGAUUGAUUUCAAAAGAACGGGAAGCGUGACAGAGAUCGUGAGAAUAUCAGUGGAGUCGAGUAGAGAUGACAUUCGCAGCUUAGCAAAGAAGAUACUCAGAUCAAACCCUCACUUCUCAAACUGAACAUGAAGUAACAGCAAGAGAUGUACAUAAACAUAACUGGCGAGCUGAGUCUGAAACUAAGAUUAUGUCCUGUGAUCAUUUAUAUGAUGUUGUAUCCUGUCUCCGUUGAACGUGGACUCCGUUGCUAAUUUUCCUGAACAGUUUCUUGAUCAUUUUUUGCUACAAAUCUGUAGUGAAUACUCCUUAUGGUUUGAAAUUUGAUAUGGCCAAGCUCUCCUAUGUAUGAUUGAUGUUGGGAAACAUGGAGUAGAUGGAUCAAACUCAUGUCUCCUCGCUGAUGUUGUGUUUUGCAUUAAAGUAACAAGACUUAUUUGGAAUCAGUUUUGUUCUCAUUUAACAAUCAUACAAGUGUUACAAAUGGAGUAUGUGAGUGGUCACAAAAGAUAGUUUUAAGAGUAGAUGUUUUCGUAACUCCUAAUGAUUUUAAUUGAAUCUCUUUUUCUUUGUUCUUUUGUCGAUGUGAUGGCAUUGUUAGAUUCUUCUUCUAAUCGUAAAGGCCUUCGUCAUACCAUAUAUCGACCAGAAAGUCCACCAUCUCCUACACAAACAUCAGAUUGGACAAAUUCAGUUAUUUGAGAAUGAUUUUUUAGCUUCUUUGAAUAAAUGAGAGAUUAGAUCAAAAGCUUACGGGUAAAGGAAUCGACUCAGAGAAAGGUUCAUGAGUUGAGAGAAGAUCUUCAUAUGUAGUGGACCAACUACAAGAGAUUCAAGAUUAUGUUAAAGAGUAUACAUCACUAGAAUAUUAAUAAAACACAACAAGAGAAACAUAGAUCUCAUUGUUAAAAUAACCUUAUAAUCUGAUCCUUUGUAGUCUUUUUUCUUUGUCGAGAUUGAUCUCCCACCCAUUUUUCUCUGUUCUCUUGCCACACCUUUACACCUGCAACCAAUAAGAUGCUUAAGAACAAAUAGUCUCAAAUUACAGAACCAACAAAUUAUAAUCUCUUAUGGUUGCUCUUAUAAUAUCUUUGUUAAGCUAGUUGUGAAAAAUGUACCAUGAUUUACAGGUGUAAUGGUGUUUUCAGUGUUCUUUUUAACCGAGCUUUUAUCUUCUAUGACCAGUUUUGAAAGCUCAAGAGGUUUGUUUUCCGUGGACAGACAAUUUGCAGUAAAAAGCUCCAUUGUUGUGAUUCAAUCGAAUGAUCAUUCCUUUGCGAAAUAAAUUUGAUUAUACGAACAUUCAACAAAGAAUAUCAAAGGUUCCCACACAAGCUGCUAGAAACACAAACAUUAUAUUAAAACCAUAUUCAUCAUGAAACUAUUACAGGAAAGAGGUUGGGUUUAGUUUUACCUCAUUGACAUUUUCAUCAAUCAGCUUGUGGGAAAACCUAAAAGAAAAGAUUAAAUAAACAAGAAUACCAGAUUCCUCAGAAAAAUAUCAAUUCAUUAUCAAAGGAUGAAAAUUCAAUACAAAACCAAAAAAAAAAAAAAAAAGAUUGAUUGUUUCACAUUGCCGUUCAUAUUCAUUACCAAAUCUUCAUCUAUAAAGCAACACAAAGAGUAUAUCUUUAAAUGUACACCUACUUCUGUUUCCUUAAGAAAGAUCAUUUUGGAACAUAAUGUAUUCAAGAUCCAAUCAGAAGCAUUCAAGAUCCAAUUAUUAUCUUAUGGAUAAGCUAAAGUUCUUUAGAGAAACAGAACAUUUACAGGAAACAAGAACAGAGGAAAGAGGAUUUACCUACCUAAAUGAGGACGUACCCAGCAGAAAAUUUGGUGGGAGGAUUGAAACUUGUUUUCUUUUAGGUUUAUAUGUAAAUGAAAUGUUAGAUCUUGAUGAGCCAAUUAAAAUGAACUAAAAAUAAAGUUAAAAAGGAAUAAUAGCCAAAAAUAGGAGAGAAUAAAAAGGAAUUAAAGUGUUUACUUUGUUGGUAGAUGAGUAGUAAUAAUAAUAAAAUGAUCUAUAUCCACCACCACUAUCCAGAUCUGUUUUGGGUCAAUGAGACAGAAAAAUUGAAGUAAGGCCCACGCAUCUGAUAAAACAACACAGCUUUCUCUUUCAAUCAUACGUGGAUGUGAUUAGGAAAAAGAUAAUAUAUCAUCAUUUACUAUAUGGUAAGAGAAUUAUAAUGAAAUUUUGUCACAUGUUUUAAUCAUAUUAUUAUUAUAUUUACAAUUCUACAUACACUACUUUGAUUUUUCCUCAGAUUUUAUCUCGAGAUGACUGACCAUAUCAAAUCUAUACUAUACUAAAAGAGGAUAUAAGCCCCUCUUAGAGUGUCCACGUAGGCACAAAAAAUCGUCCAAUCAGAGAGUCCAAAAUUGCCAUGUCAUCUCAUUUAUUUUUUCGUAAAAAAUGAAAAAACAAUGCAAAGGAGAAGAUCGAACCCGGGUUAGUAUGACAUAAAUAUAGGGCAUAUACCACUAAGCUAUUGAAACUUUCUUGGACACAUAUACAAGAAUUACUAAAUAUGUAAUCACAAACUCUUAUGUACAUUUACAAUAAUAUGGAUUCAACUUUCAAAACUCCGAUACUUUGUUUUGUAAAAUAAAAAAAAGUAAGUGACUAAGCUAAUAUAUUCUUUGAAAGUGUGAGAACAUUGACAAAUAUGAAAAAACAUAGAUUUUUGUUUUCGUGACAAAGUUAAGAAUUUUGUAAAAGUAAGUUUAACAUAUAAAUUUCCGUGACAAAUAUGAAAAAGCAUAGAUUUUGUACAAUUUUAACAAAAGAACUCAAAACAUAGUUCUCUAAUGACUUAAUAAAAUAUUAUUUAAGGGUGCAAUAAUUAAAUAUAUCAAUUCACUAAAUUUUGUAAUUUAUAGACAAAACAAUAACACAACAAAUUUUGAAACAUUUGUUUAACCUAUCGAUUUAUUUUCAUGAGAAUCCAACUAAACAAGAUAAAAAAACAAUUAGAUUUAUUUAAUUACAAUUUUAUUCAAUUUUGAAUAAUUUCAAAUUGUACUAAUGUAUCUUUUUGAAGUUACAAAAAAUAAUGUUCUUUCUUUAUUACACUAGCAUUAUAUAUAGAUUCCAUAUACACAAAUAAAUAUAAUAUAACAACAUAAGCUUGCUUUCCCCGAUUCAUAUGAAAACUUUUUAAGUUAUCCACCAAACCAAAUUAAUUAAAUCAAUAAAAUUGUUAGAAUACAAAAAGUUAAUAUAUAAUUUUAUUUUAAAUUAAAUUAAUAAAAAGUGUAUUUUCAUUAAAAACAAAAUAAUAAAUAAGUAAAACUGAUUUGAUGGUAAUUUUUAUGACAUAUAUAUAUAUAUUAUGUGAAAGAAAUAUAAGCUUAAUAUGGAAAAAAAUCUUAAAUACAAAAAACUCUAAAAUUAACAAAAAAAAUUAAUAAAAAUUAAACUAUGAUAUCAAUUGAAAGCUUCUUAGACAAUAUUAAUAAAAUAUUUAAGCGCUAAUUAGAUAAAUUUGAUUUUUUUGCUAGCCAAAAGUUUAUUAUAAUUAGCAUCAGUUAUUUCAAGAUAUUUAAGAAAUGAUAGACUUAAAUGAUAUAUCAUUUGCACAUCAUUUCCAGUUUUUUUAUGCAUAGAUUCAAUUUAUUCAGAGCAGUUAUUCCACAAAGAGAUCGUAUGAGAUAUUAUUUUGAUAUUCAGAUUUGUUUCUUGACUGUUAAGAAGAUUGAUAACUGUAAAAAUAUCACCUUCGAAUAUUAUAUGUCUAUAACCGAAUCCCCAACAUGAGACAACUUAGUUUAAAAAGUAAAUAAUUUCAUUUUUCUUAUAUUAUAUAAUAAAUAUAUAUUAUUUACUGUUAACAAAAAUAUAGUUAUUCAUCUAUCACAAAUAUCUAUGGAAAUAUGUGAAUUAAGUACAACAAUCAAACAACAUAAUAAUUUCCACAAAAAAAAUUGAAAAAAUAUAUUUAUGUUAGGUAGUCUUAUUUUAUAUUCUUUAAAUAAUGUAAUACAAUAUUAUACAUUAUUUUUUUAGAAUUGAGAAAUACAUAUAUAUUAGUUAGAUAAAUUAAGCGAUAAUUAGACAAAUUUGAUUUUUUUUCGAGCCAAAAGUUUAUUAUUAAUUAGCAUCAGUUAUUUCAAGAUGUUUAAGAAAGGAUAGACAAAAAAAUAGGAUGGACAUAAAUGAUAUAUGAACUAUGAAUAGUAUUUUGUAAAGCUGACUUAGAUAACACAUCUGCACAUCUAUUUCCAGUCCUUUUUGAUGUCUAAAUUCAAUUUCUUCAGAGCAGUUAUUCCACAAAAAGAUCGUAUGAGAUAUUGUUGUGAUAUUCAGAUUUGUUUUUUGACUGUUAAGAAGAUUGAUAACUGUAAAAUAUCUCAUUCGAAUAUGAUAUGUCUAUAACUGAGUCUACAACAUGAGACAAGUUUGUUUUAAAAGUAAAUAAUUUUAUUUUUCUUAUAUUAUAUAAUAAAUAGAUAUUAUUUACUGAUAAUAAAAAUAUUGUUAUUCAUCUAUCACAAAUAACUAUGCAAAUAUGUGAAUCAAGUACAACAAUCAAACAACAUAAUGAUUUCCACAAAGAAAUUUUUAAAAAUAUAUUUAUGUUAUGUAGUCUUAUUUUAUAUUCUUUAAAUAAUGUAAUACAAUAUUAUACAUUAUUUUUUAAAAUUUAGAAAUACAUCUAAUAUCUUAUCCGCGCGUAGCGCGGUUAAAAAAUCUAGUUAUCAAUAAUCAAGAUAGAUAACAUGUUUGCGUGUUUGGUUUACCAUUCUUGAUUUUGCUUUUUUCUUCUUCUUAUCAUAAUUGCGUUAACCUAGAUUAAGUGUUUUAAGAGUAAUAUUUAUGUCUUAUGAUGAUGAUAAUGAUAUUGAAAUUGUAGUCAUUUGCAUUAUCGGUAAUCUUACACCACAUUGGCGCUGACAAACACAAAAGAAACAGACUUUUUCUCUCUCAAUUUGGUUACAUAUUCUAUUCCAUACUGUAAAAGUUUUAAAACCCUGUUAGUGUUAAGAUUUCAAUCAAUAUCAACCACUUACUGGUAUGAUUCUCUCGUUCGUUUAUUUCCUUGUUGCUUAGCUUUGUAUUUUUCGGUUUAGGAAACUAGAUCGUAUUGCUUUGGUAUAUAACAGUGUAAAGACCUAAAUAUGAAUUGAUAUGAUAAAUCCUUAUCUGAUUCUUCUAUAGAACCAAAAGAAACAAAUCCUUAUCCGAUUCUUCUUCUAAAAGAUAUGCAAGAAGAUCAAAAUACCAUUAAAAUAAAAAACAGAUCUUUUAAUCGGAAGAAGAGGUUUGUGGCAGAAACAAACCAGAAUCAUGGACGUUAUGGAAAAUAAACAUUCUCAAAGGAACUAGAGGUUGUGGAGACGCAUUUUCAAAAGUAGAAAAAAUACACGAAAUAAGUGUGGGCCUUAGUUUGAAAGGAAGAAUGUGAGAUAUCAGACAAAUCAUACAUUGACAUUUAGACAAAUGAAAGUCUAGUAUAUAAAAAAUAUUCAACUCUAAUUAGUACGAAACCUUUUGGAAAGAAAAUCAAAAAUAAAACCACGCGAGUUUGCUUAAAGCCCAAAAUGAACGAUAUCGUACUAACCAGACAAUACAUAGUUGGACAUGGAUUCAAUAAAUCCCAACUAAAAUAAUAUUAACAACUUAAACUCAAUUAUUAAUCAGGUAAAUUACUUGUGUCUUGUGUGAGUUGGUUAAUAAUAUAUAUCUAAGUUGGUAAAACAAAUAAAAGUGUAUCAUCAUCUCAUUUAUUAAAGAAGUUAGAAAUCUUAAUUAAAAGUUAUGAACUAUCAACAAGACAACAAGUCAAUUUUUUUCUUCUGUAAUGGAAGUAUAAAAUAUGUGAAUAUUUACCAAAACUCAAAGCCUCAAAGUCUGACAAUCUAAAUGAUGUAAAUUUUGUUAAGUCACAUAUCGGUUCGUAAACCGAUUCAAAAGGUUUAAUCACAUAGAAUUCAAGCUCACACGAAGCAAUAGAUCACCAAGACAAAACAAAGGUUUCAGACAAUCUGUCUUUCAUUACAGAGAGUUUUGAUACACAUAAAGCUCAUAGGACACAUUACUAUCUUUUCUUUACAAAGUCACUAGUUCAAAGGGAUAACAAUAUCGCCAAUGUUUUUGUGCCAUGGAUCCG
Molecule: long non-coding RNA, 25382 nt
Filed under: Brassica rapa (field mustard)
Lineage: Eukaryota; Viridiplantae; Streptophyta; Magnoliopsida; Brassicales; Brassicaceae
Description: long non-coding RNA (BRAP_LNC007238)
Source: RNAcentral